UACGAAGGGGGCUAGCGUUGCUCGGAAUUACUGGGCGUAAAGGGCGCGUAGGCGGCCCGCUAAGUCGAACGUGAAAUCCCUGGGCUCAACCCAGGAACUGCGUCCGAUACUGGCAGGCUUGAAUCCGGGAGAGGGAUGUGGAAUUCCAGGUGUAGCGGUGAAAUGCGUAGAUAUCUGGAGGAACACCGGUGGCGAAGGCGGCAUCCUGGACCGGUAUUGACGCUGAUGCGCGAAAGCCAGGGGAGCAAACGGG
RNAcentral lists this ribosomal RNA (253 nucleotides) under uncultured bacterium. Its description in RNAcentral is "partial 16S ribosomal RNA". It matches the Rfam family "Bacterial small subunit ribosomal RNA", at positions 524 to 776 of the family's 1533-position model. The record is from RNAcentral.